GAGGCGGCCUCGGGCGGGCCCCGCGCUCGCUCCUGUGGUGAGGGGCUGCUGGCCUGCCCUCCGGAGACAGCCUGGCUCCUCUCCUCACGGGCUGGGCCCCCCAUCGGGAGCAAAGCGCCUGAAGCCACAGUGUGCUGUGUGUAUAGCGAUCAUUCCUGUGGACCUCUUUGUGGAAACAGUUCUUCCAUCAACCCCCUGCAGCAGCUGAGUUUGUCUUAAGUUUCAGGACCUUUCGGACUCAUGGUUCUGAGCAACUCUCCGUUGUUUCAAAUUUUGGGGUUCUGGAUGAGCCAGAAGAGUGCUUCCAGCCUGAAGCUAAACUCAGUAAAAUUCAGCUGUGGUGACCUACUAUUAACAAGUAAGUCUGUUUUCCCCCCCCAUUAAAACUACAUUCUUUAACACUAGUUUUAAGUAGGCUGAACAGAGUUUGCCGAUUUUAUUGGGAAGUGUAAUGGCUUAUGUAGAGUCAUCAGGUGCCAAUGACAACCUAUAUGCUGUGGCAGUUUAGAUGAA
This is a long non-coding RNA of Grus americana (Whooping crane), 513 nucleotides long. RefSeq lists it as uncharacterized. NCBI's taxonomy places the organism in Eukaryota, Metazoa, Chordata, Aves, Gruiformes, Gruidae. The transcript is spliced from 3 exons. The record is from RefSeq and is a predicted model, not a curated record.